Molecule: small RNA, 20 nt
Filed under: Arabidopsis thaliana (thale cress)
Lineage: Eukaryota; Viridiplantae; Streptophyta; Magnoliopsida; Brassicales; Brassicaceae
Description: ATSL306420
Source: RNAcentral
UUUCUUUCUUUCUUUCUUUU